CCACAGGUAUGAAGUUUACGGCUUGUAAUGCCUUAAGAGAAAAUAUAAUGAAAAUGAUUUAUAGGUGGUACUUAACCCCAGUCAAGCUAGCAAAAAUAUAUCAUUUGCCCGAUAAUAAAUGUUGGAAAUGUAAAGAAAAUGAAGGUACCUUUUUCCACCUUUGGUGGACGUGCCCAAAGAUCAAGGCCUUCUGGGAAAUGAUAUAUAAUGAAUUAAAAAAGGUAUUGAAAUACACUUUUGUGAAGAAACCAGAGGCCUUCCUCUUGGGCAUGGUCGGCCAAUUGGUGCGAAGGGAAGAUAGGAAUUUUUUUAUGUAUGCGACAGCAGCGGCAAGAAUACUCAUUGGGAAAUAUUGGAAGACACAAGAAUUGCCUACCCGAGAAGAAUGGCAGAUGAAAGUGAUGGACUAUAUGGAACUGGCUGAGAUGACCGGCAGAAUUCGAGAUCAGGAAGAAGGGUUGAUGGAAGAAGACUGGAGAAAAUUUAAAAUAUAUCUUCAGAAACACUGUAAUAUAAAAUAAUGUUAGAAAAAGGUUGGAAAAGAAUAUUAGGCCGUAUUGGCAGACAUGGUACAAUGGAAUAAGUAAAUAUGAAGCGUAAAAUGAGGAUAGAGGAGAAUUAAAUACUUUCAAAUGUUAAAAUAAGUAAAAGAAAAGAAGGUUAGAAGGUUUUGCUGGAGAUACGAUUUAAACUAGAAUACAAAGCAGGGAGGUGAGAGGAAGUCUUGGAAAUAGGUAAAAGGGAAAAAGGUUGUAAAGGUCUAAUUUGAUUUUUGUUAUUUUUUACUGUGAUUCUUUGUUUUUUCUUAUUUCUUUUUUAUUGUCUGUUUUUUGUAAGAUGCGUGUGGUUUGUUUUUUCUAUAUUUUUUUUGUAACUUUAAAACUGGAAUAAAUAUUCUUUAAAAAAAAAAGAAAAA
This is a non-coding RNA of Podarcis lilfordi (Lilford's wall lizard), 916 nucleotides long. The record is from the annotation of a GenBank genome assembly. Lineage: Eukaryota; Metazoa; Chordata; Lepidosauria; Squamata; Lacertidae.